RNAcentral lists this ribosomal RNA (497 nucleotides) under uncultured bacterium. Its description in RNAcentral is "partial 16S ribosomal RNA". It matches the Rfam family "Bacterial small subunit ribosomal RNA", at positions 28 to 507 of the family's 1533-position model. The record is from RNAcentral.
GAUGAACGCUGGCGGCGUGCCUAAUACAUGCAAGUCGAGCGAACAGAUGAGGAGCUUGCUCCUCUGACGUUAGCGGCGGACGGGUGAGUAACACGUGGAUAACCUACCUAUAAGACUGGGAUAACUUCGGGAAACCGGAGCUAAUACCGGAUAAUAUAUUGAACCGCAUGGUUCAAUAGUGAAAGACGGUUUUGCUGUCACUUAUAGAUGGAUCCGCGCCGCAUUAGCUAGUUGGUAAGGUAACGGCUUACCAAGGCAACGAUGCGUAGCCGACCUGAGAGGGUGGUCGGCCACACGGGAACUGGGACACGGUCCAGACUCCUACGGGAGGCAGCAGUAGGGAAUCUGCCGCAAUGGGCGAAAGCCUGACGGAGCAACGCCGCGUGAGUGAUGAAGGUCUUCGGAUCGUAAAACUCUGUUAUUAGGGAAGAACAAAUGUGUAAGUAACUAUGCACGUCUUGACGGUACCUAAUCAGAAAGCCACGGCUAACUACGUG